GGGGGGUUGGCGCAAUGGUAGCGCGUAGGCUUCCGGUGCUUAAACAGGUCUGCCUAAGGCUGUGGGUUCGAGUCCCAUGCUCCUCG
Non-coding RNA from Plectosphaerella plurivora, 86 nucleotides. The record is from the annotation of a GenBank genome assembly. Lineage: Eukaryota; Fungi; Ascomycota; Sordariomycetes; Glomerellales; Plectosphaerellaceae.